RNAcentral lists this ribosomal RNA (464 nucleotides) under uncultured bacterium. Its description in RNAcentral is "partial 16S ribosomal RNA". It matches the Rfam family "Bacterial small subunit ribosomal RNA", at positions 339 to 795 of the family's 1533-position model. The record is from RNAcentral.
CUACGGGUGGCUGCAGUGGGGAAUAUUGGACAAUGGGGGAAACCCUGAUCCAGCCAUGCCGCGUGUGUGAAGAAGGCCUUUUGGUUGUAAAGCACUUUAAGCAGUGAAGAAGACCUAACGGUUAAUACCCGUUAGCGAUGACAUUAGCUGCAGAAUAAGCACCGGCUAACUCUGUGCCAGCAGCCGCGGUAAUACAGAGGGUGCAAGCGUUAAUCGGAAUUACUGGGCGUAAAGCGAGCGUAGGUGGCUUGAUAAGUCAGAUGUGAAAUCCCCGGGCUUAACCUGGGAACUGCAUCUGAAACUGUUAGGCUAGAGUAGGUGAGAGGGAAGUAGAAUUUCAGGUGUAGCGGUGAAAUGCGUAGAGAUCUGAAGGAAUACCGAUGGCGAAGGCAGCUUCCUGGCAUCAUACUGACACUGAGGCUCGAAAGCGUGGGUAGCAAACAGGAUUAGAUACCCUAGUAGUC